CGAUAGCGUAUAUUAAAGUUGUUGCAGUUAAAAAGCUCGUAGUUGGAUUUCUGGUAGGAGCGACCGUGCCGAACUUGAUUGUUCGAGUAUUGUGUUGUCUUCAGCCAUCCUCGUGGAGAACUUUUCUAACAUUAACUUGUUGGGAUUGGGACCCGCGUCGUUUACUGUGAAAAAAUUAGAGUGUUUAAAGCAGGCAUUAGCUUGAAUACAUUAGCAUGGAAUAAUAAGAUAGGACUUUGGUACUAUUUUGUUGGUUUGCAUACCAAAUUAAUGAUCAACAGGAACAGUUUGAGGAUAUUCGUAUGAACAUGUCAGAGGUGAAAUUCUUGGAUUUUGAUCAGACGAACUACUGCGAAAGCAUUUAUCAAGGAUGUUUUCAUUAA
This 383-nucleotide ribosomal RNA is filed under the name uncultured eukaryote. RNAcentral's name for it is "partial 18S ribosomal RNA". It matches the Rfam family "Eukaryotic small subunit ribosomal RNA", at positions 592 to 976 of the family's 1831-position model. The record is from RNAcentral.